GGAAUCUUGCGCAAUGGGCGAAAGCCUGACGCAGCAACGCCGCGUGCGGGAAGAAGGCUUUCGGGCUGUAAACCGCUUUCAGUAGGAACGAAACUGACGGUACCUACAGAAGAAGGAGCGGCCAACUAUGUGCCAGCAGCCGCGGUGACACAUAGGCUCCAAGCGUUGUCCGGAUUUAUUGGGCGUAAAGAGCUCGUAGGCGGUUGAGUAAGUCGGGUGUGAAAACUUUGGGCUUAACCCAAAGAUGCCACUCGAUACUGCUUUGACUUGAGUUCGGUAGGGGAGUGGGGAAUUCCUUGUGUAGCGGUGGAAUGCGCAGAUAUAAGGAGGAACACCGGUGGCGAAGGCGCCACUCUGGGCCGAUACUGACGCUGAGGAGCGAAAGCGUGGGGAGCAAACAGGAUUAGAUACCCUGGUAGUCCACGCGGUAAACGGUGGUCACUAGGUGUGGGUCUCUUCAAACGAGAUCUGCGCCGUCGCUAACGCAUUAAGUGACCCGCCUGGGGAGUACGGUCGCAAGACUAAAACUCAAAGGAAUUGACGG
RNAcentral lists this ribosomal RNA (544 nucleotides) under uncultured bacterium. Its description in RNAcentral is "bacterial SSU rRNA". It matches the Rfam family "Bacterial small subunit ribosomal RNA", at positions 358 to 916 of the family's 1533-position model. The record is from RNAcentral.